GUUGAGGGGAAUGUUGUCUGGUCGGAGACCUAACACCGCGGAUCCAUGCGGCAUCGCAGCAUGGUGGAUGGUUUCGGACCAGGCUUCAUUCCCCCCAAC
RNAcentral lists this microRNA precursor (99 nucleotides) under Setaria italica (foxtail millet). RNAcentral's name for it is "pre miRNA mir-166". It matches the Rfam family "mir-166 microRNA precursor family". From Rfam's summary of the family: This family represents the plant microRNA (miRNA) precursor mir-166. Animal miRNAs are transcribed as ~70nt precursors and subsequently processed by the Dicer enzyme to give a ~22nt product. Lineage: Eukaryota; Viridiplantae; Streptophyta; Magnoliopsida; Poales; Poaceae. The record is from Rfam by way of RNAcentral.